CUCAAACAUAAAUUCUAGUAGAUUGCCACUGACAUUUCUAACUGCAAAAUUCUAUUAUUCUAUAUAAAAUGCUUCAUAAUUUCUCCUUAGUUUUUCCAUUAGACAUACAGCCUCAAUCUCUUUAAACUUUCCUUGUAGAUGAUCUAUUUUUGUUUUUUAUAAUUUAUUGAAAUAAACUUUUAAACAUUAUUUUUAUUUUCAAGACAAUUACUUAAUUCAUCUCCAAUAAAAUAGUUUUCUUUUAUCUAUGUAACAGAAUAGAGAAAUUAUUGAAUUGGCAUUCAGAACACCUGGACUGCAUUGUCCUUACAUGGCUGCACAGAAGGUCACAGGCUCAUCUUUGCUGGAAGAAAGGAAAGGAGGCCCACCAUGGUGGUUCUGAUCAGAAUACUGAGGAGAUGCCCUUUCAUAAGGAAUAUUGAAGAGGAAAAAGGAGCCAACAAGGGAUAUGGAGAAAGAAUAGUUAAGGGGAACCAGGAUCCUGACAUCCUGUCACUCGUGCCUAAAUAUGGAAGAAUCAAUAACAAGGUUUUAAAAAUGAAAUAAAAACUGCCCAACAUUAAAAAACAAAUUAAAAACUAAAGAUUUUACAUGAAAAUAUCAAUGGAAACAAUGAUAAACUAUUAUUUCUUAGACUUUUCCUCUCUUUUUAUAUUCUCUGUUCUUCCCUGAUGAGAUUCUUAUCUCAUAAUAUUUAAAUUUUAUUAUUCUAAUUUAAAAUUUUUUUAUUCUAAGACCAAAAUUUUCAUAAU
Molecule: long non-coding RNA, 752 nt
Filed under: Monodelphis domestica (gray short-tailed opossum)
Lineage: Eukaryota; Metazoa; Chordata; Mammalia; Didelphimorphia; Didelphidae
Description: lncRNA (ENSMODG00000030867.2)
Source: RNAcentral